This is a non-coding RNA of Arthromyces matolae, 89 nucleotides long. The record is from the annotation of a GenBank genome assembly. Lineage: Eukaryota; Fungi; Basidiomycota; Agaricomycetes; Agaricales; Lyophyllaceae.
GGGCACAUGGUGUAGUUGGUUAUCACGCCCGCUUAGCAACUUCCGUUGUUUCCUGCGGGCGGUGCCCGGUUCAAUUCCGGGUGUGUCCA